Molecule: ribosomal RNA, 447 nt
Filed under: uncultured bacterium
Lineage: Bacteria
Description: partial 16S ribosomal RNA
Rfam family: Bacterial small subunit ribosomal RNA
Source: RNAcentral
AACGAACGCUGGCGGCAGGCCUAACACAUGCAAGUCGAGCGAACCGCAAGGUUAGCGGCGGACGGGUUAGUAACGCGUGGGAACGUGCCCAAAGGUACGGAAUAGCCUCGGGAAACUGAGAGUAAUACCGUAUGUGCCCGAAAGGGGAAAGAUUUAUCGCCUUUGGAUCGGCCCGCGGUGGAUUAGGUAGUUGGUGGGGUAACGGCCUACCAAGCCGACGAUCCAUAGCUGGUUUGAGAGGAUGAUCAGCGACACUGGGACUGAGACACGGCCCAGACUCCUACGGGAGGCAGCAGUGGGGAAUCUUAGACAAUGGGGGAAACCCUGAUCUAGCCAUGCCGCGUGAGCGAUGAAGGCCUUAGGGUUGUAAAGCUCUUUCACCGGGGAAGAUAAUGACGGUACCCGGAGAAGAAGCCCCGGCUAACUCCGUGCCAGCAGCCGCCGUAA